AAGGGAGACUGCUAAUACCAGUUUCCUGUGACGUUACCCACAGAAGAAGCACCGGCUAACUCCGUGCCAGCAGCCGCGGUAAUACGGAGGGUGCGAGCGUUAAUCGGAAUUACUGGGCGUAAAGCGUGCGUAGGCGGCCUUUUAAGUUGGAUGUGAAAGCCCCGGGCUUAACCUGGGAACUGCAUCCAAAACUGGAAGGCUUGAGUGCGAGAGAGGAGUGUGGAAUUUCCUGUGUAGCGGUGAAAUGCGUAGAUAUAGGAAGGAACACCAGUGGCGAAGGCGACACUCUGGCUUGACACUGACGCUGAGGUACGAAAGCGUGGGGAGCAAACAGGAUUAGAUACCCUGGUAGUCCACGCCGUAAACGAUGUCUACUAGUUGUCGGUGGUCUUGUACUGCUGGUAACGCAGCUAACGCGAUAAGUAGACCGCCUGGGGAGUACGGCC
Molecule: ribosomal RNA, 446 nt
Filed under: uncultured bacterium
Lineage: Bacteria
Description: bacterial SSU rRNA
Rfam family: Bacterial small subunit ribosomal RNA
Source: RNAcentral